This 539-nucleotide ribosomal RNA is filed under the name uncultured bacterium. RNAcentral's name for it is "bacterial SSU rRNA". It matches the Rfam family "Bacterial small subunit ribosomal RNA", at positions 358 to 917 of the family's 1533-position model. The record is from RNAcentral.
GGGAUUUUGCGCANGGGGGAACCCUGNCGCACAACGCCGCGUGGAGGAUGAAAUCCCUUGGGAUGUAAACUCCUUUCGAUAGGGAAGAUAAUGACGGUACCUAUAGAAGAAGCCCCGGCUAACUUCGUGCCAGCAGCCGCGGUAAUACGAGGGGGGCAAGCGUUGUUCGGAUUUAUUGGGCGUAAAGGGUGCNGUAGGCGGUUUGGCAAGUCUUGUGUGAAAUCUUUGGGCUCAACCCAAAGUCUGCAUAAGAAACUGCCGGGCUUGAGUAUGGGAUAGGCGAGUGGAAUUGCAGGUGUAGCGGUGAAAUGCGUAGAUAUCUGCAGGAACAUCCGAGGCGAAAGCGGCUCGCUGGAUCACAACUGACGCUGAGAGACGAAAGCUAGGGGAGCAAACAGGAUUAGAUACCCUGGUAGUCCUAGCCCUAAACGAUCAGGACUUGGCGUGAGCCCUGUACGGGGCUCGUGCCGUAGCUAACGCGAUAAGUCCUGCGCCUGGGGAGUACGGUCGCAAGGCUGAAACUCAAAAAAAUUGACGGA